ACGUAGGGGGCAAGCGUUAUCCGGCAUUAUUGAGAGAAAAGAGAGAGGAGGUGGUUUUUUAAGCGUGAGGUGAAAGGCAAUAGCUUAACUAUUGUAAGCCUUGCGAACUGGAAGACUUGAGUGCAGGAGAGGAAAAUGGAAUUCCUAGUGUAGCGGUGAAAUGCGUAGAUAUUAGGAGGAACACCAGUGGCGAAGGCGACUUUCUGGACUGUAACUGACACUGAGGCACGAAAGCGUGGGGAGCAAACAG
This 250-nucleotide ribosomal RNA is filed under the name uncultured prokaryote. RNAcentral's name for it is "partial 16S rRNA". It matches the Rfam family "Bacterial small subunit ribosomal RNA", at positions 525 to 775 of the family's 1533-position model. The record is from RNAcentral.